GAUGAAGAACGUAGCGAAAUGCGAUACUUGGUGUGAAUUGCAGAAUCCCGUGAACCAUCGAGUCUUUGAACGCAAGUUGCGCCCGAAGCCAUUAGGCCGAGGGCACGCCUGCCUGGGCGUCACACGUCGUUGCCCCCCCAUCUACUCCUUCGGGAUUGCGGGGGGCGGAUGAUGGCCUCCCGUGCGCCUCGUCGCGCGGUUGGCCUAAAUGCCAAGUCCUCGGCGACGCACGCCACGACAAUCGGUGGUUGCGAAACCUCGGUUGCCCGUCGUGUGCGGUCGUCGCGCAUCGAGGGCUCGAAAAAAUUGCCGGGCUUCGGCUCGACUUUCAACGCGACCCCAGGUCAGGCGGGGUUACCCGCUGAAUUUAAGCAUAUCAAUGCGGAGGA
Molecule: unclassified non-coding RNA, 389 nt
Filed under: soil metagenome
Description: partial contains 5.8S ribosomal RNA, internal transcribed spacer 2, and large subunit ribosomal RNA
Rfam family: 5.8S ribosomal RNA (bases 1-122)
Source: RNAcentral